GCUGGGCAUGGUGGCGGGUGCCUGUAAUCCCAGCCACUUGGAGGCUGAGGCAGGAAAAUUGCUUGAACCCAGGAGGCGGAGGUUGCAGUGAGCUGAGAUUGCGCCACUGCACUCCAGCCUGGGUGACACAGCGAGACUCCGUCUCAA
Macaca fascicularis (crab-eating macaque) is the source of this 147-nucleotide unclassified non-coding RNA. It matches the Rfam family "Metazoan signal recognition particle RNA". Rfam says of the family: The signal recognition particle (SRP) is a universally conserved ribonucleoprotein. It is involved in the co-translational targeting of proteins to membranes. The eukaryotic SRP consists of a 300-nucleotide 7S RNA and six proteins: SRPs 72, 68, 54, 19, 14, and 9. The record is from Ensembl. Lineage: Eukaryota; Metazoa; Chordata; Mammalia; Primates; Cercopithecidae.